GUGGGGAAUUUUGGACAAUGGGCGAAAGCCUGAUCCAGCAAUGCCGCGUGUGUGAAGAAGGCCUUCGGGUUGUAAAGCACUUUUGUCCGGAAAGAAAUCCUUUGGGUUAAUACCUCGGAGGGAUGACGGUACCGGAAGAAUAAGGACCGGCUAACUACGUGCCAGCAGCCGCGGUAAUACGUAGGGUCCGAGCGUUAAUCGGAAUUACUGGGCGUAAAGCGUGCGCAGGCGGUUUUGUAAGACAGAUGUGAAAUCCCCGGGCUUAACCUGUGAAGUGCAUUUGUGACUGCAAGGCUAGAGUGUGUCAGAGGGGGGUAGAAUUCCACGUGUAGCAGUGAAAUGCGUAGAGAUGUGGAGGAAUACCGAUGGCGAAGGCAGCCCCCUGGGAUAACACUGACGCUCAUGCACGAAAGCGUGGGGAGCAAACAGGAUUAGAAACCCCAGUAGUCC
RNAcentral lists this ribosomal RNA (450 nucleotides) under uncultured bacterium. RNAcentral's name for it is "partial 16S ribosomal RNA". It matches the Rfam family "Bacterial small subunit ribosomal RNA", at positions 354 to 796 of the family's 1533-position model. The record is from RNAcentral.